UCCCUGGUGGAUUAGUGGCCGACAUGAGGAACUCUCAUUGCCAGGGCCCAGGUUUGAUUCCUGGUCAGAGAA
RNAcentral lists this transfer RNA (72 nucleotides) under Pangasianodon hypophthalmus (striped catfish). RNAcentral's name for it is "tRNA-Glu". Lineage: Eukaryota; Metazoa; Chordata; Actinopteri; Siluriformes; Pangasiidae. The record is from RNAcentral.